GAUGAAGAACGUAGCGAAAUGCGAUAAGUAAUGUGAAUUGCAGAAUUCAGUGAAUCAUCGAAUCUUUGAACGCACAUUGCGCCCUCUGGUAUUCCGGGGGGCAUGCCUGUUCGAGCGUCAUUAUAACCACUCAAGCUCUCGCUUGGUAUUGGGGUUCGCGGUUCCGCGGCCCCUAAAAUCAGUGGCGGUGCCUGUCGGCUCUACGCGUAGUAAUACUCCUCGCGAUUGAGUCCGGUAGGUCUACUUGCCAGCAACCCCCAAUUUUUACAGGUUGACCUCGGAUCAGGUAGGGAUACCCGCUGAACUUAAGCAUAUCAAUAAGCGGA
Molecule: unclassified non-coding RNA, 326 nt
Filed under: soil metagenome
Description: partial contains 5.8S ribosomal RNA, internal transcribed spacer 2, and large subunit ribosomal RNA
Rfam family: 5.8S ribosomal RNA (bases 1-120)
Source: RNAcentral